Molecule: long non-coding RNA, 1321 nt
Filed under: Papio anubis (olive baboon)
Lineage: Eukaryota; Metazoa; Chordata; Mammalia; Primates; Cercopithecidae
Description: lncRNA (ENSPANG00000045303.1)
Source: RNAcentral
GGAAGGGUUUAUAACUUCAGGUGGAUGCUGAACAGAUAAUUCUGCAGAGCAAGCUUUAUAAAAAGCCAAAGUAGAUGAUGUGGGGUAGAGGGUGAAAGGGGAUGAGUGAAGGCUCCUAGAAUGAAGCUCCAACUUUCCAACUUGAGAGUUCAGUGAUCAGAGGCAUAUUUCAAUGUCUUUUUAGGUGAGAUAUAUAACAUACCUUUCCUAACCCAUGAUAUUUUUAAGAUUAAAAACUGAAGGUGAGUAAAUCUUGAAACUGAAACACGAUGCAAAUCUUGAAGCAUGAAGCAAAUAUUAAUAAUUAUUCUCACUGGUCUUCAUGCUAGUAAUGAUGAUGCCAUUGAAUCUUGAAGGUCCUUAGUAUUGAAGAAUCUGCUAUCAACAAGUAUACAAGCAUAGAAGGGCACAGACGUUAAAUGUUCUUGGACAAGUAUUACUGAUGUUACCUGGAAGUGGUAGAAAUGAGACCCAGGGAGAAUGUUCCAUUUGAGGAAGAGGGGAUACUGAUGCCAUAUGGCUGUGAUCAUCUUCCUAUAUCUCAAAGACUUUGCCCUAAACAUUGUUGCAUUUCCUUAAAGAAAAGAUCAAGAGUUGAGAUUAAACUUGACUUAAAACGCCAGAUAUUUGCCAGAACCUCUAGGAAAUUGAUGAAAUAUUCCUGUCUGAAGGCUGCAACCAAACAUGAUCUCAUCCAUAUCAGCAGCAUUACUAAUAAAACACCAAGGUGCUUCCUGACCUCCAGGAGAGAUGUGUUAAAUUGGAUGGCAGAAAUAAGUCACUGGAACAAAAUGCUUGAGAAAGAACCUGCUCUGCUCCCUACUUUCUUAAAAAUACACUCACAUGUUCUCCCAUAUACCAAAACAAUUAUUCUAGAUUGGAGAUAUUUAAGGAUUCACACUUACGUAAAGAUUCAAUGGACUAAAUUGACUUUUCCGACCAUUAUGCCGUAAGACCUCCAAUAACAUCCAACCACAAAGGAGCUCGAUGAAGCAGGGCACUCUUAUUUCAUAGCCAAAAUAUAAGGUAAGAAAAGAACAAAUUCUACCUUUUAUUUGUGGCAAUGAAUAGAGAAGAAUAAUUUGAAAAUAUGUUCAGAUAAGUUACAUACUAAUAAAUAGUUGAGAAUUUUUUUUAUUUGGUUUUGAAGAGGUCCUGACUGGUAGUGUAAAUUCUCUGUGAAUUACAGUCCUAAGGGGGUUCUAGGAAUAAAUAGUGUUUGCUUUUCUAAAAAGAGGGAAUUUGACAAAAUGCCCUGAAAAUACCCAUGAAACUGUUAUAACCCUAGACUUCUGGUUGAUUAACUCCAAAAGCCCUCAAG